CAUGGUUUUGAUCUCAAAAGGAAGCAAAAGAUAGCUUCAAACACUCUAUAGGUUCCAUAAAAACCACUCUAAACUUAAUCCAAACCCUAGUUUGAGUUCUACCAAGAUUAGGGUUCAAGCUUACCUCUAAGCUUGCUCCAAAGGGGAAGAAAAGGAGAUAGCUUCACUCCUUUGCUUCCUCUUCACCUUCUUUCUCCUUUUCUUCUUCUUCUUUUCCUUCUUUUCUUUGUCUUCUUCUUCUCCUUCUUGUCUUCUAGAGAGAGAAAGAAAGAAGAGAGGGAGUGUGAGGGAGAGAAUGAGAGAAAUAUCCCAAAACCCCUCACAAUACAACCCAUAUAUUGCACUUUUGCAAAUAAACCCCNUCCUUUGCUUCCUCUUCACCUUCUUUCUCCUUUUCUU
RNAcentral lists this long non-coding RNA (399 nucleotides) under Ananas comosus (pineapple). Its description in RNAcentral is "long non-coding RNA (ACOM_LNC011988)". The record is from RNAcentral. Lineage: Eukaryota; Viridiplantae; Streptophyta; Magnoliopsida; Poales; Bromeliaceae.